This is a long non-coding RNA of Panicum virgatum (switchgrass), 532 nucleotides long. RefSeq lists it as uncharacterized. The transcript is spliced from 2 exons. The record is from RefSeq and is a predicted model, not a curated record. NCBI's taxonomy places the organism in Eukaryota, Viridiplantae, Streptophyta, Magnoliopsida, Poales, Poaceae.
CUGCAAGGCAAGCUGAAUCAUGGCCAAGAGGUGCUCUCCUUUCCUCUGCAUGUUUGCGACGACGAUCGCCCUGGCUGUCAUCUUCUCCAGCUCCGUCGUCGUCGACUGCUCGGAGGUCAAAGAACUGAACACGCAUGCGGAUGCAGAUGACUCGGCUGCAAUUCCGGACGGAGGGCACGGGGGCUGGGCGCCGCCGGCGCCGCAGCCGGGGCUACGUGCACCACGAGUGCCCCGACCCGGAACCCGAGUGCAGACACCCAGGCGGCGGCGCUCCACCUUCGCCGCCCGCGCCGCCAGUUGCGCCGCACAGGAAGAUCGGCCGGAGCGGGUAGGGACGCCAGUGAUUACUGAUUAAGUGAUUAGCGGUCUGAUGACUGAUGAACUGAUACCCUCUUACUACCACCACGCCUUGUGAUAAGCAUGUACUCGUACAAUAUGAUCGAUGCUGUAGUGCUGUAUGCCAUACCGUUUUCGGCCUGUUGCCUGAGACACGGCUUCAUAACCCCAAGAAAACAUUUCGUGUUUAGCAUCA